RNAcentral lists this ribosomal RNA (497 nucleotides) under uncultured bacterium. Its description in RNAcentral is "partial 16S ribosomal RNA". It matches the Rfam family "Bacterial small subunit ribosomal RNA", at positions 28 to 507 of the family's 1533-position model. The record is from RNAcentral.
GAUGAACGCUGGCGGCGUGCCUAACACAUGCAAGUCGAGCGAACGGACGAGAAGCUUGCUUCUCUGAUGUUAGCGGCGGACGGGUGAGUAACACGUGGAUAACCUCCCUAUAAGACUGGGUUAACUUCGGGAAUCCGGAGCUAAUACCGGAUAAUAUUUUGAACCGCAUGGUUCAUAAGUGUAAGACGGUCUUGCUAUCGCUUAUAGAUGGAUCCGCGCUGCAUUAGCUAGUUGGUAAGGUAACGGCUUACCAAGGCAACGAUGCAUAGACGACCUGAGAGGGUAAGAGGCGACACCGGAAUUGAAACGCGGUCCGGACCACUACGAGAGGCAGCAGUCGGGGAUCGACCGGAAUGGGCGAAAGGCGGACGGAGCAACGCCGCGUGAGUGAUGGAGGUAUUCGGAUCGUGAAACUCAGUUAUUAGUGAAGAACAAAUGAGUAAGUAUCUGUGCACAUCUUGACGGUACCUAAUCAAAAAGGCACGGCUAACUACGUG